UCCGAGGUGGCUCAGUGGGUAAAGAAUCUGCCUGCAAUUCAGGAGACCCAGGUUCGAUCCCUGGGUUGGGAU
RNAcentral lists this transfer RNA (72 nucleotides) under Bos taurus (domestic cattle). It matches the Rfam family "tRNA". From Rfam's summary of the family: Transfer RNA (tRNA) molecules are approximately 80 nucleotides in length. Their secondary structure includes four short double-helical elements and three loops (D, anti-codon, and T loops). Further hydrogen bonds mediate the characteristic L-shaped molecular structure. tRNAs have two regions of fundamental functional importance: the anti-codon, which is responsible for specific mRNA codon recognition, and the 3' end, to which the tRNAs corresponding amino acid is attached (by aminoacyl-tRNA synthetases). tRNAs cope with the degeneracy of the genetic code in two manners: having more than one tRNA (with a specific anti-codon) for a particular amino acid; and 'wobble' base-pairing, i.e. permitting non-standard base-pairing at the 3rd anti-codon position. RNAcentral also lists the same sequence under 5 other names. The record is from Rfam by way of RNAcentral. Lineage: Eukaryota; Metazoa; Chordata; Mammalia; Artiodactyla; Bovidae.